This 495-nucleotide ribosomal RNA is filed under the name uncultured bacterium. RNAcentral describes it as "partial 16S ribosomal RNA". It matches the Rfam family "Bacterial small subunit ribosomal RNA", at positions 28 to 507 of the family's 1533-position model. The record is from RNAcentral.
GACGAACGCUGGCGGCGUGCCUAAUACAUGCAAGUAGAACGCUGACGGAGUAGCUUCUUUCUCUGGAUGAGUUGCGAACGGGUGAGUAACGCGUAGGUAACCUGCUUUGUAUCGUGGUAUAACUAUUGGUAACGAUAGCUACUACCACAUAAUAGUAGAUGUUGCAUGACAUUUGCUUAAACUUUGCAAUUGCAUCACUACCAGAUGGCCCUGCGUUGUAUUCGCUAGUUGGUGGGGUAAAGGCUCACCAAGGCGACGAUACAUAGCCGACCUGAGAGGGGGGUCGGCCAAACUGGGACUGGGACACGGGCCAGACUCCUAAGGGAGGCAGCAGUAGGGAAUCAUCGGCAAAGGACGGAAGGCUGAACGAGCAAAGACGCGGGAGUGAAGAAGGGUUUCGGAGCGGAAAGCUCUGUUGUAAGAGAAGAAAAAGCGGGAGGGUAGAAAGUUCACACUGUGACGGUAUCUUACCAGAAAGCAACGGCUAACUACGUG